GAUGAACGCUAGCGACAGGCUUAACACAUGCAAGUCGAGGGGUAGCAGGGAUAAAGCUUGCUUUAUUUGCUGACGACCGGCGCACGGGUGAGUAACGCGUAUGCAACCUACCUAUCAGUAAGGGAUAGCCCAUUGAAAGAUGGAUUAAUACCUUAUAAAGCAGGGAUCCCGCAUGGGAAUAUUUGCUAAAGAUUUAUUGCUGAUAGAUGGGCAUGCGUUCCAUUAGUUAGUUGGUGAGGUAACGGCUCACCAAGACAUCGAUGGAUAGGGGUUCUGAGAGGAAGGCCCCCCACACUGGUACUGAGACACGGCCCAAACUCCUACGGGAGGCAGCAGUGGGGAAUAUUGCACAAUGGGGGAAACCCUGAUGCAGCGACGCCGCGUGAAGGAAGAAGUAUUUCGGUAUGUAAACUUCUAUCAGCAGGGAAGAAAAUGACGGUACCUGACUAAGAAGCCCCGGCUAAUUACGUGCCAGCAGCCGCAGUAACAC
Molecule: ribosomal RNA, 490 nt
Filed under: uncultured bacterium
Lineage: Bacteria
Description: bacterial SSU rRNA
Rfam family: Bacterial small subunit ribosomal RNA
Source: RNAcentral